This 98-nucleotide transfer RNA is filed under the name Alteromonas sp. Mac2. Its description in RNAcentral is "tRNA-Leu". The stretch from base 2 to 73 matches the Rfam family "tRNA". Rfam says of the family: Transfer RNA (tRNA) molecules are approximately 80 nucleotides in length. Lineage: Bacteria; Pseudomonadati; Pseudomonadota; Gammaproteobacteria; Alteromonadales; Alteromonadaceae. The record is from RNAcentral.
UGCGGGAGUGGUGGAAUUGGUAGACACGCUGGAUUUAGGUUCCAGUGCUUGGGUUUUGAUCCCGCCAUUCGUAGGUUCGAGUCCUGCUACCCCAGCCA